GACCAGACUCCUACGGGAGGCAGCAGUGGGGGAUAUUGCACAAUGGGGGGAACCCUGAUGCAGCGACGCCGCGUGAGUGAAGAAGUACUUCGUUAUGUAAAGCUCUAUCAGCAGGGAAGAAUAAAUGACGGUACCUGAGUAAGAAGCCCCGGCUAACUACGUGCCAGCAGCCGCGGUAAUACGUAGGGAGCGAGCGUUGUCCGGAAUUACUGGGUGUAAAGGGAGCGUAGGCGGGGAUGCAAGUUGGGUGUCAAAACUACCGGCUCAACUGGUAGUCGCACUCAAAACUGCAGCUCUUGAGUGAAGUAGAGGCAGGCGGAAUUCCUAGUGUAGCGGUGAAAUGCGUAGAUAUCAGGAGGAACACCGGUGGCGAAGGCGGCCUGCUGGACUGCAACUGACGUUGAGGCCCGAAAGCGUGGGGAGCAAACAGGAUUAGAUACCCCGGUAU
This 448-nucleotide ribosomal RNA is filed under the name uncultured bacterium. RNAcentral describes it as "bacterial SSU rRNA". It matches the Rfam family "Bacterial small subunit ribosomal RNA", at positions 329 to 793 of the family's 1533-position model. The record is from RNAcentral.